AGUCGAGGGGUAUACUUCUUCGGGAGUAGAGACCGGCGCACGGGUGCGUAACGCGUAUGCAAUCUACCUUUUACAGAGGGAUAGCCCAGAGAAAUUUGGAUUAAUACCUCAUAGUAUAUAGAGUUGGCAUCAACACUAUAUUAAAGUCACAACGGUAAAAGAUGAGCAUGCGUCCCAUUAGCUAGUUGGUAAGGUAACGGCUUACCAAGGCUACGAUGGGUAGGGGUCCUGAGAGGGAGAUCCCCCACACUGGUACUGAGACACGGACCAGACUCCUACGGGAGGCAGCAGUGAGGAAUAUUGGACAAUGGGCGCAAGCCUGAUCCAGCCAUGCCGCGUGCAGGAUGACGGUCCUAUGGAUUGUAAACUGCUUUUAUACGAGAAGAAACACUCCGACGUGUCGGAGCUUGACGGUAUCGUAAGAAUAAGGAUCGGCUAACUCCGUGCCAGCAGCCGCGGUAAUACGGAGGAUCCAAGCGUUAUCCGGAAUCAUUGGGUUUAAAGGGUCCGUAGGCGGUUUAAUAAGUCAGUGGUGAAAGCCCAUCGCUCAACGGUGGAACGGCCAUUGAUACUGUUAGACUUGAAUUAUUAGGAAGUAACUAGAAUAUGUAGUGUAGCGGUGAAAUGCUUAGAGAUUACAUGGAAUACCAAUUGCGAAGGCAGGUUACUACUAAUUGAUUGACGCUGAUGGACGAAAGCGUGGGUAGCGAACAGGAUUAGAUACCCUGGUAGUCCACGCCGUAAACGAUGGAUACUAGCUGUUGGGAGCAAUUUCAGUGGCUAAGCGAAAGUGAUAAGUAUCCCACCUGGGGAGUACGUUCGCAAGAAUGAAACUCAAAGGAAUUGACGGGGGCCCGCACAAGCGGUGGAGCAUGUGGUUUAAUUCGAUGAUACGCGAGGAACCUUACCAAGGCUUAAAUGUAGAUUGACCGGUUUGGAAACAGACUUUUCGCAAGACAAUUUACAAGGUGCUGCAUGGUUGUCGUCAGCUCGUGCC
This 997-nucleotide ribosomal RNA is filed under the name Flavobacterium sp. RNAcentral's name for it is "bacterial SSU rRNA". It matches the Rfam family "Bacterial small subunit ribosomal RNA", at positions 60 to 1066 of the family's 1533-position model. Lineage: Bacteria; Pseudomonadati; Bacteroidota; Flavobacteriia; Flavobacteriales; Flavobacteriaceae. The record is from RNAcentral.